UCGCAAUCCUCCGCCCCCCACCACCGAUCCUCCGGUUUCCCCACACCGUGCGGUGCCCGCCGCUCUUCCUCUGCAAUUUCGCCGCUGGGGACGACUUCAAGGCCCACGGCUUCUCCUUCCCCUUCACGCCGCCCCUCUCCCACCCCGAAUCUGACUCCUUCUCCACUGCCGCCGCCGACGUCCCCGCCGCCGAGAACUUUCGCCGCAGCCGCUCCGCUUUGCGAACCGCCGACAGUCGUGCCCGUGAAGGAAGAGAAAGAGGAAAAGGGAUAUAUUUGUGAGGGCAUUUCUGCAAAAUACCAGCUGGAGCUUAUGGAAGGACAUAUUUGUGAGGGCAAAAAUGUCAUUUCACAACUCUACUGUUAAAAAAUAAACAGCUCUCUAACGGAUCCUAACCAGAGAGACAUAUCUAUAUAUUUGUGAGGGCAAAAAUAUCAUUUUACAACUUUACUGUCAAAAAAUAAAUAGCUCUCUCACGGAUCCUAACCAGAGUGACAUAUCUGAAUACAUUAGGACUUUUGUAGGGAUAACUUAUGAAAGUUGAGUUUUGCAGGAAUAUAUCUGCAAUUCACCAUGUUUGUAGGGACGUGUAUGCAAUUAACCCUAUUUAUAAAUAUCAACUUUUUCACUUUUUCUCCUAACUUUUAAGAAUCUACAUUUUACCCCCUGAACAUUUCAAAUUGUUGCAUUUAGCCCCACUCUGUUAGGGUUUCAUCACUAUUCCGUUUUAUUUUUUAUAAUUUAUACUAAAAAUAUCUUUUAAAAUGAUACAAAUAUAUUAAAAAAUUAUUACUUUUUAUUACAGAAUAAGUAAAGGCAAUUUGAUCAUUUUUUUCUCUCCAUUAAUGCCAUACUCUCCUGAAAUAUUUUUAAAAUUUUAAAGAAGCAAAAUAUAGAUAUUUAAAAGUCAGGGAAUGAAAGUAAAAAAGCGGAUAUCUACAAAAAGUUUUUAUUUAAUUUAGCCUUUAUUAAAUAUCAUUUGUCACGUCCCGGGUUACCACGUUUUCCCGGGCACGCUAAUAGACCCGUUGUAUACAAAGAAUUUUUCCUGUAUACGAAGCGAUAGCUGUACCUGUAAACAAAACCAAGCUACAACCACAAGGUAAAAAACUGCCAAACAGAGCUGAAUAUAAAGAUAAAACAUCAGGUUCACUAUACAUACUAAGUCUCUGAGAUACAACCAACCUUCGCUCCAGCGAGUAAACCAACAUAAGUAUGUACAAGAACCAAAACACCCCAAAACUACCUGUGAUAGAUCCUCCUCUAGUACGGCGACACGACUAGUAGAGAUCUAGUUUGCAACUCCCUUCUCACGGUCGGAAUCAGCAACAAUAGCAUCCGCAGUCGAAGGCUCUGCAAAAAGGGAUCAACAACUUGGUGUGAGAACUACUACAAAAUAUAGUAGUCCUCAGUGGGUAC
This 1419-nucleotide long non-coding RNA is filed under the name Ananas comosus (pineapple). Its description in RNAcentral is "long non-coding RNA (ACOM_LNC008583)". The record is from RNAcentral. Lineage: Eukaryota; Viridiplantae; Streptophyta; Magnoliopsida; Poales; Bromeliaceae.